UGAGGAAUAUUGGUCAAUGGGCGAGAGCCUGAACCAGCCAAGUAGCGUGAAGGAUGAAGGUCCUACGGAUUGUAAACUUCUUUUAUACGGGAAUAAAGUAUCCUACGUGUAAGAUUUUGUAUGUACCGUAUGAAUAAGCAUCGGCUAACUCCGUGCCAGCAGCCGCGGUAAUACGGAGGAUGCGAGCGUUAUCCGGAUUUAUUGGGUUUAAAGGGAGCGCAGACGGGAGAUUAAGUCAGUUGUGAAAGUUUGCGGCUCAACCGUAAAAUUGCAGUUGAUACUGGUUUCCUUGAGUGCAGUUGAGGCAGGCGGAAUUCGUGGUGUAGCGGUGAAAUGCUUAGAUAUCACGAAGAACCCCGAUUGCGAAGGCAGCUUGCUAAACUGUAACUGACGUUCAUGCUCGAAAGUGUGGGUAUCAAACAGGAUUAGAUACCCUGGUAGUCCACACGGUAAACGAUGGAUACUCGCUGUUGGCGAUAUACUGUCAGCGGCCAAGCGAAAGCAUUAAGUAUCCCACCUGGGGAGUACGCCGGCAACGGUGAAACUCAAAGGAAUUGACGGGGGCCCGCACAAGCGGAGGAACAUGUGGUUUAAUUCGAUGAUACGCGAGGAACCUUACCCGGGCUUAAAUUGCAGACGAAUUACGAGGAAACUUGUAAGCCGCAAGGCGUCUGUGAAGGUGCUGCAUGGUUGUCGUCAGCUCGUGCCGUGAGGUGUCGGCUUAAGUGCCAUAACGAGCGCAACCCUUGUGGUCAGUUACUAACAGGUUAAGCUGAGGACUCUGGCCAGACUGCCAUCGUAAGAUGUGAGGAAGGUGGGGAUGACGUCAAAUCAGCACGGCCCUUACGUCCGGGGCUACACACGUGUUACAAUGGGAGGUACAGAAGGCAGCUACCCGGCGACGGGAUGCCAAUCCCCAAAACCUCUCUCAGUUCGGACUGGAGUCUGCAACCCGACUCCACGAAGCUGGAUUCGCUAGUAAUCGCGCAUCAGCCACGGCGCGGUGAAUACGUUCCC
Molecule: ribosomal RNA, 1017 nt
Filed under: uncultured bacterium
Lineage: Bacteria
Description: bacterial SSU rRNA
Rfam family: Bacterial small subunit ribosomal RNA
Source: RNAcentral